Molecule: long non-coding RNA, 884 nt
Filed under: Homo sapiens (human)
Lineage: Eukaryota; Metazoa; Chordata; Mammalia; Primates; Hominidae
Description: HSALNT0341818
Source: RNAcentral
CAAAGCUGCUCAUUGUCCCCCAAUAUACAUUAACUUUUUUAUCAGUAAGGGAGCUAGGCCUAGUGUAAAGCUUACAGCUAAGAUUGGUCUAUAAUUAAUGAUUAAAUUCUGGUCCAUAGGAUAUAAACAGGAGCAAUGUCCUUAAAAAACAGUAACAUAUCCUUCUCUAUCCCUUCCUCCUUACAGGUGGUAAGCAUACAGACAUGUUGGCUGAAGGUGAACAGUCUUUUUGGACAAUGCUGUAAUAAUUGCAAGUUGAAGAUGGCAGAUAAAAACAUACAGGAGCCCAAGUCCCUGCUGGCCCCAUGGACCAGCAUCCCACUCCCACCCAUGGAUUAGCUAUCCUGGGCUCUUUUUUUUUUAAUUGGAGAGAGAAACAAAUAUGCAUAUCAGAGUUUUCUAUUACUCAGAGCCAAACGAUCAUAAUGAAUACAGUUUUAUUCUUACAACCCUCUUUUAAAAAAUAUUUUGUAAAUGAAUGACAAAGUUAAGUAGAAUAACAGUUAACAUUUCUAGAUCACCUCUGGUGGCCUAACACUUUACCUAGGUAUAUGUAUCUCAUCUAAGUCUCUCAGCAUCCCUUGAGGUAGGCCUUAUUAUUAGCUGCUCCAAUUUACAGUGGUGAAGGCUCAAGGUCAAAGAGGUAGUGAAGAGAUCAAUCAGGAUUUGAACCAGGCAGUUGAAAUCGAGUGUCUGGCUCUUCCUGUCUUGCAUAUUUUGCCUUCCCUAACUAGAUACAAACUAAGAAAAACAAAACAAUUGAAUUUUUUUUCUGAAAUCAUGAAGACAAAAUUAAUAAAUUCAUUGAGUUUUCAAAAUAUAUUUUCUGUCCUUUUCACUAGGCAUGCAAACUGCAAUAUGUUUAAAAAACAAAGCUACCUGAA